AAGAGCGGGUGCCAUUUUGAUUCUGGGUUAUGAGGGGAGGCAGGCAACUGCUGCUUGGGAAUGGUGAUUUUAAAUCAAAGUUAAUUGGGAUUUCAAUUAAUUUAAAUAGACAUGAAAGUCAUACUUUCCCAGAACACACGUGGCAGCUGACGGCAAUUCCAUCCUUCCAGUUUGCUCAGGUUGAAAACCCUGGCGUCAUCCCAGCUUCUCUCUUCCUUUUACAUCCCACAUCCUAUCCAUCAGUGAGUCGCCACCUCUAGCUUUGAACUCCCAGGGUUCUGGCCCAUCUUCUCUCUUCCACCCUGAUCCAAGCCCCAUGAUCUCAUUCCUGGAAUCUGCUGAAGCUGCUUCUAGCAUCUUGCUUCUCUCAUGCUUAUCUCUUUCCAGUCUAUUCUCAUCGAGGAGCCAGAAUGAGCCUUUGAAAAUGCAAAUCAUAGCCCACUAUGCCUCUGCACAGAACCCCAACCAAACAGGGCAGACAGCGGGCAGGCCAGAGGAUGUGUGGCAGGGGCAGGGAGGUUGGGUGGGGAAUGUGGUCCAUCUUCUGUGGCCAUUUCCCCAUCCUGCUGUCUUCUGUGCUAUUGAGGAGUUAUGAAAGGACACAGGAUGGGGGUGAGGGUGUCUAGAAUGGGCCAUCCCUAAUGAAUACACCCUAAACCAAUGGAGAGCUCUUC
This 674-nucleotide long non-coding RNA is filed under the name Pan troglodytes (chimpanzee). RNAcentral's name for it is "long non-coding RNA NONPTRT003711". Lineage: Eukaryota; Metazoa; Chordata; Mammalia; Primates; Hominidae. The record is from RNAcentral.